AAAACGACUCUCGGCAACGGAUAUCUCGGCUCUCGCAUCGAUGAAGAACGUAGCGAAAUGCGAUACUUGGUGUGAAUUGCAGAAUCCCGUGAACCAUCGAGUCUUUGAACGCAAGUUGCGCCCAAAGCCUUUUGGUUGAGGGCACGCCUGCCUGGGU
This 157-nucleotide ribosomal RNA is filed under the name Clusia rosea. RNAcentral describes it as "5.8S ribosomal RNA". It matches the Rfam family "5.8S ribosomal RNA". Rfam says of the family: 5.8S ribosomal RNA (5.8S rRNA) is a component of the large subunit of the eukaryotic ribosome. It is transcribed by RNA polymerase I as part of the 45S precursor that also contains 18S and 28S rRNA. Functionally, it is thought that 5.8S rRNA may be involved in ribosome translocation. The record is from RNAcentral. Lineage: Eukaryota; Viridiplantae; Streptophyta; Magnoliopsida; Malpighiales; Clusiaceae. RNAcentral also lists the same sequence under 1 other name.